Bombus impatiens (common eastern bumble bee) is the source of this 828-nucleotide long non-coding RNA. RefSeq lists it as uncharacterized. The transcript is spliced from 2 exons. NCBI's taxonomy places the organism in Eukaryota, Metazoa, Arthropoda, Insecta, Hymenoptera, Apidae. The record is from RefSeq and is a predicted model, not a curated record.
UAUCGUUUGUAAUUUAUACGCUCCUCAAUGUCAGAUAAUAUUGCUUAGCGUAAAAUAUGCGGGCACGUGAAUUCUCAUUCGUUCCCGUCAUCGCCGAAAAUUUUCAGAUAGUAACACAUAUCAUACGUUAUUUUGUAAGUUGUAAAUUGUAAUAAACCUUGAUGCGUGUAUGUUAUGACAAGUUCGUACGUCGAAACGCGAUAAACUUCAAACCUAUACCACGUGUAUUUCUUUCUCUAUAAAGUACCACGUACUAUUAUUAAAAAAUUGAUUGAAAUCAAAACUGAAGAGAAAAUUAAUCAAAAUUAAGAACUCCUCGGUUUUCUAUACUGCUUCAACACGAUCCGUUCGUAGGACGAAAAUGCGAAGCGUGACAAUCACAGCGACGAGCACCUACCUUCGCGUUCGAACGCAAGGCACGCGGGUUUCUUGGGUGGCGAAACACACUGGACUCGGAAAAGCGAAAGCAUCAGAGAACCAGCGAGAACCACCCCCUACCUCUCGGAAGAGCCGUCGAAUCGUUCUCCUUUCCUCUUUUGACUUGUUAGUUAUUUUCGACCCCCGUUCUCCACCAAUCUCUUAACAUUCAACACCGACAACGCUCCUGGCAAACGUAGGAAACUGUUUUGCGUUUCCUGAAAUUCUCUUUUUUCGAAAUUGUUGACCAUUCUCCAACAGACUUUGUUACUUACUGUUGCAAUCAAACGCAUGGAUAAGGACGAUCUUCUUUUGAAAUGGCGUACGUGUAUCUCCUGAUAAUAUUUUCUUCGUGUAAUUUGUUUAAUAUAUUCGGUGUUAUAUGAUUUGUUUCUUGUUCCUUUUAGUGAA